UAAAAUCCCACAGUGACCAAUCAGGCAGAAAUGUGAAAGCUGGGAUCCUCUGACUUCUGCAGUGGACUUAAUUUUCUUUUGCUCCUCUCUUUCAGGACAGGAAAAAGCAUGACACUCCUCCCAUCUUUGCCAAAAGCUGUGGUGUUUGAGCAGCCAAAGCCAGGAGGCUUCAGCACCAGGGCUCUGCCCUGGAGGGCUCCUGGUCCUGCCCAUGCUGUGGGGUCAGCAGGAACAAGAGGAAAUGGGGUGCCAGAGCCGUGUGCCAUCAGGCCGUGUUUCCCUCUGAGGACAGAGAGUCCGGGCUGAGGGAGAAAAACACCAACUCACAGCCACUCAGGCCUGGCAGUCCUCUGCAGCGAGAGCUCAUCACACAUCCACAGAGGCAAGUCCCGCAUCUGAAAGAAGAAAAAUAAACAGAAGAAAAAGGUUCUUGUUCCGGAGAGGUUCUUACCCCAGAGCCUUACAGGGUCUGUAGCCUUGAUAAAUGGGAAUCAAAUUGGCUCAGCCUGUCAGGAAAGCAAAAACAUCCUGGGGUUUGUUUGGCCAAUGACGGACCAUGAAGAUGUCUGUACUUCCAGUGGGUUGGGGCAGUGAGGAGCAAGUUUUUGAUUCCAUGAUUUCUGACUGACCUGUCGCAGAAAUGGUCAUCUCAGCGUGCACCCGCUUCCUGGCAAAUCCAGAUGUCACCUGGAAAUGCUAAGUGAGGAUUUUCAGCCUUGACUACACGAGAGACAGCCUUCUCAAAAUGGAACUGACCUUGGCAGAAGAGCAUCUGUUAAGGUUAGCAGAACAGAAACACAGGACAGGAAAAAGCAUUACACUCCUCCCAUCUUUGCCAAAAGCUGUGCUGUUUGAGCAGCCAAAGACAGGAGGCUCCAGCACCAGGGCUCUGCGCUGUGGCUCCUGGUCC
Catharus ustulatus (Swainson's thrush) is the source of this 910-nucleotide long non-coding RNA. RefSeq lists it as uncharacterized. The transcript has 6 exons. Lineage: Eukaryota; Metazoa; Chordata; Aves; Passeriformes; Turdidae. The record is from RefSeq and is a predicted model, not a curated record.